RNAcentral lists this long non-coding RNA (1336 nucleotides) under Strigops habroptila (Kakapo). RNAcentral describes it as "lncRNA (ENSSHBG00005011013.1)". The record is from RNAcentral. Lineage: Eukaryota; Metazoa; Chordata; Aves; Psittaciformes; Psittacidae.
UUUUUUUAAUAAUACAGCUUCAUUUAUUAAAACAGCAUUUCACUUAAACAGUGUAAAGGGAAAAAAUAAGUAGUGAUUCAGGAAAACAACUAACAAUUCAAAAACAGUAAAUUGAAUACUUUAGUAGUAAAUUGAAAUAUCUUAUCAAAUAAAUAGUAACUUUGAAGGACUUCAAUAAUUGAAACAAGUAGUUACUGUUUGUAUUGCAGUGCUGGAAACAGGACCCAGCCAAAAAGCAUUGUGUUUAAGGAACAAAUACAGUGAGAAGCUGACCUCUGACUGAAAGCUAUAUAUGAAAAUACACAAGUGGAAUGGGUUGGACUUUCAGAGUUACUGUACCCUGUUUUAACACAAAAAAAAAAAAAGAAAAACCAAACCAAAACGAAACAAAAGAAAACUCAACCCACUAAGCUGAGAUUCAGAGAUAAACACAAAGCGGUGCCUUGCACAUGCAAGGUUAAAAAAGUUUCCUAUGAGAUAUUGGAAUGAAACUGUCUCAUUACAUUUGAUUAGUAAUGGGUCUGAUAAAUCCAUCCCCUCACACACAUCACCCAUAAGCAUUAGUAUUUCUGUAACAACAUAAUCCUGUCAUCUUAAGACUUCCCAUUCAACUUCUGCUUUUAAAGAAACACCACCCCAAAUUUUCUCAUGCUGCCCUAACUAAAGAAAAACAUGGGGAAAAAAAAAGCAGAAUGUACUUCACUGGACACAUACUGUAAGUAAACUGAAUUUAUUAACAAUAGAAGUUACAACGCACUGAACUAACAGGGAAGUUUAUGAAGUUUUGGUUUUCUUUUUCCCAUGACUGAUCUAUCCGAACGCUUUAAACUAAAGAGCGUUAGGUUUGCACACAACGCCACAUGCCGGCUAAGCGACAGCGAAAGUCACCCGAGGUACGACACAAGAGCCGGGAGCAGCACUGCCGGCCGCUCACGGCGGGAUAACACGCUCUUCCCGGCCGGGCGGCCCCGCCGCCUCUCUGGGCGCUUCCUCGCUCCCACAGCCCCGAGGAAGACAGAACAACCCCCAGCCCACCGCCCGAGCUGCCCUGCCCGAGGGAGCGGCACGGUAAUCUCCGCAGCACCCCGGCCCCGAGGCCGGUUCCUUCCCCUCUCUCCCAGCACCAGACCUAUUGCCGCUCCCCCCAUACCCGCGCACUGUGCCCCCACCCGCCGUGGGGCCACCUCUACCCCGGCGGCACCACCGCCGCUACCGCUGUCCCCCUGCAGAGCCCGGCACCGCGCCCGGGGCCGCCCCACUCCGCCCCACGGGUACCUGCGCUGCACCAGCCGCCGCUGGCCGCGCAGCCCGGAACUCACCAGCUGGCCCGCCGCUG